CACAAAUUGUCAUAAUUCUAGCCCUUAUUAAUUAAUUGCCAAUAAUUACACUUUUAAGAGGACCUAGACCUGUAUUUAAUUGCCUUAUAUUUAGAAUCAGCAGAUUUCUACCUGCAGCAUUCUUUCCUAUUUUUUCUUUUGCUUGGUAAGGCAAAUAUUGAUGGAAAAUAUAAUGAUGUACUGCAUAAAUUAGAAAAGGGGUGUUGGAUCCUCUAUCCAUUCCAGAGUGUUGCAGUGCAUUGUUGUUCAUUAUAUUUGAUUCAAUUACAUUCUUUAUUGUUAAGUUGUACCCCUCCCCAUGUUAAUACGUUGGUCCCAAUCGUGCCCUCCUACCCCAGUUGCCAAUCCACCCUGAUACCUGCCCCUUGUUCCCGAAUGUUCCCUGUUCCCCCUCCCAUUAAGCUGUCAAUCCUCCCUUGUGCCAACCCCCGGCUGGACCGCCCCCUUUUGAAUUCCCCUAUUCCUCUGAGCCCCCAUUGGCCCAUGUGCCCCACUCUCCUCCCCUGGUGUUCCCCAUUGGUUUGUGUAUUAUGUAACCCCGCCUUGUGCUCCUCCCCUAAGUCUUCCCUAUUGGUUUAUUAUUUGUACACUCCCCUUGCUCCUCCCCCACACAUAAGUUGCUGUACCCCUGCAUCUUUUGUCUUUCUUCCCUGGAACCUUCGAGAGAAUAAAUCCCUUUUGGAAACCACAGGGAAGACCUCUCCCUCGUCCUUGCUCCUGCCCUCGACGCUGGACAGCCACUGCUGUAGAGCAUCAGCCCUAAGCUGCUCUGCUUUCCAGGAGCAGCCCUCUCUUGGCUCGGUGCCGGGAGCUGGCUGGGGAAAAACCCAGCUCCACGUCACCAGAGAAACUGUCUUAGACAUUCUGCUCUUUGCAUUAAAUAUUAAUUUAUAAUUAGUUAUAAUUCUGUAAUUAAUUAUACCUCUUCCCAUAAACAGCUACAUCUUGUCUGAAUUCAUAAUAUUCAGUCAGUUUUCAUCAGACAUAAAUAAAUCUGCAAAACUUCAUCAACCAGUCACUGUCCCAUUAGAAUGGGCCCCACUGGAUAAUCUUUGAUGUUACUAACUACAAAAUUAUGUUCCAUUUUGGUUUGAGGUUUCUUUUCCUUAGAGGAGAUGCAUCCCUUUUUUAGUAGAAUAAAAAGCAUCUGCUAAUCAGUGGGAAGGCACCUGAAGCCAAGCAUGGCUGUCUCCACAUUUCCCCCAUGGCAAGGUGGUUCUGGAUUGCACGCUCCCUGGCAGUGAUCAGGUGUCAGCAUUUUCCUGACUUGGGUCAAGAUCAAACCUUCCGUUUGGUCCUGCAAGACAGGUGGUACCUGGAUCAGCACUGCCUGUGUAUUCACAGAUCUUAGUAUAAGCAAAAAUAACUCUGCAAGACAUUCCUGCAGAUGGCUUUUAAUUUGGUAUUGAUUUGAUGGGCUCACCCCAGCCUAGGAUUCUUUGUAUUUGCUGUACUGUUUAAACUGGUUUGGGCUUUUAGUUCAUCCAGUCUCCACCCAGGAGCAGUGUUUUUUGAUAAAGUUAUCAGUGUGGCUAUUUUCAGUAUUUUCUCAGCUAAGAGCUGAAUACAAAAUUUGUUUCCUAUUAAGUACCUCUUUUAAUCAGUUUAAUUGUUUAUAUUCUCCCCCAAAGAAACUCUGAAUGUUGGAUGGUACCUUUAGUAGAAAGAACCAAAACUGCAGAUUAUCCUGGACCCAUCUGUGGUUGUAGCUGGCUGCUGAAGCAGUCAGGUUAUUUAAUCCCAAAUGGUGGUUCUGUAUAUUCUAAACAGUCCAACUGUUGUGUGCUUUCCUACUGGUUUCUAAGGAAGUCAGGCUCUCAACAGUAUUCUCAGGCACCUUCUGAAAUAUGUUUUAUGAGAAAUGCAAAAAUCCACUUGUAUUUCUUUCAGUGUUACACAGUAAAUUUAGCUGCCAGAGUAGAUGGCAGCUGGGAGGCAAGUUCUCUAAUUUGUAUUCAUGGGAUAGAGGUGAUACUCUCUGUUCUCUCUGACUGCAGGGAAUAUUGCUUGCCAGUCAUCUGCAGUGGAAUCCAAUUUGAGUAAGGUCCUGCAUCUCUGUUUUCGCAGACACCACUAAAAUGAAGCCAACCUGUCUUUCAUGUUAAUCUUUGAGUCCUCAGUAGCUGUAAACUUUAUAGCAAGGGAAUUAAGGCCUAAUAAUGAUCAUUCUUCCCUUUAAGAUCCACACAGAAACAUGUCCAAGCCCAAAGCAAGGCAAGAUUCCAGCCUUUCACCCAGGCACUGGAAGGGCUGGUUCCAGCCUGGGGUGGUUUGUGGCCUGGAGACACGUGGGCCAUUCCUGCAGGACCUGGUAACCCAACCCUCAGAGCUGGGCACCAAGCACCUCUGUGCAAGAAAUGACACAAGUUGUGAUGUCCCUGCACCCAGCUGUGUGCUCAGAGUCCCACUGGAUACAUCUCAUGAACUGACAACAGCAUCCAAACAAAGGAUUUGGAUUGUCACUAGACUUGCCAUUUAUCCAGAUGGUAGUGCAGACCCUAUUCUCAGAAUCCUUUUUUGCUGCUGCCUGUGCACUUCGUUUCUGGUACAAUAAGGAAGUGGUCUGGAUGAGAGGCAUGUUUGGGAGUCCAGCCUCAAGUCACCCUGGCUCAAAAGUGGUGAACAACAGCUUAAAUUGAGCAGGGUGUGGAUCCCUGCAGAUCCCGGCAGUAGCGGGGAGCUCCCGCCGGGCGGCACUUCAGGACUUCGGUACCGUCGGCAGCGACUCCAGGGAGUGGCUCUCCCGAACAGCUUUUGCAUUCCCUUUGCGCAUUUUAUUUCCUUAUUUUUGUGUGAGUUAACAAGGAUAAUUUUUUUUUGCUUCUGCAGUGAUUUUUUUUUUCCUACUUAAUCUCUUAAACUCUAGAAUUGAUUCAUGUUAAUAUUAAUAAUUUAAGGGAAAUAAGCCUUUUCACGGUCUAAUCACACCAGCAUUGAGAAGUGACAGUUGCCUCUGAAUAAAGGAUGGCAUGAUUGGCAGGAUUACCUUCAGGCAAGGGGAGAUCUGGAGAAGUGGAAUAGUGUGAAACUUCAUCUCUCUCCCAUGCUGUUCGGAUUAUUUAUCAAAGUAUGUGAAGAUCAAAAAAAAAUCAAGGGAAAUGCAUGCAUGUAAAUUAUUAACAGCCUGCCUCAGAGGAUGAGCAGAUUUUGUUCAUACUGUAUUAACUAUAACAAAUUUUAUUACAUAUUCAAAGAAAAAGAAAUAGAAGUUACAACUGCAACAUGGUAGUAAAUAAUGAGUGAAAUAAUCUCAUAAGAAACUAUUAUCUACAAAAUAACAUUGUAAAUAUAAGAAAAAUAUUGUCAAGAAAGCAUCUGACAUUCAGGGAGCUACUUGUUUAUUUUUUAUUUAUAUUGUUGACUCUUAAGAGGUUGAAAUGGAAUGCCUGCUGUAGCCCAAACAACAAUAUUCUGGUGUGAGCCAUCUGUAACCGAGAUCUCUAAUGCAGGCCACCAACAAGAAUAAAGACUGGUUCAUGAAUCAGUAGCACAAAAGCAAAUCUUUAUUUGCUGUUGCUCAGCAACCAUGUGCAAAAGGCCCAUUUUUCAUUUUUACCGUAACUUGACAGGAAAAUGAUAAUAAAUAUUAGAUUAUUAUCACAGGGUAUAGAUUAUUUUGAACAGAUGAACAGAUAUGUCAAAGAGAGGCAUGUAAUUUGGUCCUCUUGAAAGGAAGAAUAUUAGAGAAACUGAAAAUAGAGCUGUAGGUUUAUUACUGGCUUGCAGUUUAUGCUCAGUUCUUGAAAAAACCUAGAGAAAAUUAUUCUGCCUCUCUUGUUUCUCUAUGUGGUCCUUUAAAAUGAAUCACUUGGUGUUAUUCAGCUUGUCGUUAUCUGUAUCAACUUCUAGUUUCAAUACUAUGAAAAAAAAUCAUUCUGUGAUUGCUAUGCAACAGAAAUUAAAAGCUAAAAUAUGUUUUAGUUUGUUUGCUAAAUGGAUAUGUGCCUAACUAAAUAAACAGUAACCAGGUGACUAAUGUAGCAUCUAAUUAAAGACUAAUCAAGGUAUUAAUGAAAUAUUCAGUCUACCUGAGUCAUGAUAAAUAAAUCCAUCAGUUUGGAUCUAAAAUGGCAAAGAUUUUUAAUAUAUGCAGAAAAUUUAAUAUAGGCAGACAUAUAUUAUAUGUAUAUAUAAUAUACAUUAACAUAAUGUAUAAAUGUCAGGUGGUAUACUUCUUCAUUUGUUUUUACAAUUCUGCAGGUAUGCUGAUUGCUCAUGCAACUUACUCCAAGCAAACUGUUUCACAGGCUCCUUGCACUUAGUUGAACUUGGGAAAUAGUCAGGUAUACAGCAUCUGAAACAAGCUGGAUUCUUACAUCAAAUAAAUGUGGCAGAAAAUGAAAAGAUCUUAAUUUUUAAUAUAAACUGAAACUGUGAAAGGCAGGGCUAUUAGGGAAGGUUAUAUAUUAAAAAAUAAAACAGCAGAAGAUGUAAAUGCUACUUUUAAAGGAGUG
This is a non-coding RNA of Cyanistes caeruleus (blue tit), 4454 nucleotides long. Lineage: Eukaryota; Metazoa; Chordata; Aves; Passeriformes; Paridae. The record is from RefSeq and is a predicted model, not a curated record.